Molecule: ribosomal RNA, 743 nt
Filed under: Xanthomelon durvillii
Lineage: Eukaryota; Metazoa; Mollusca; Gastropoda; Stylommatophora; Camaenidae
Description: partial 16S ribosomal RNA
Source: RNAcentral
CACGAAGCAAGUCGAGCUAAUUAGGUGUAAAUAUUAGUUUAUUAAAUGUAGCAUAAUUUAAAUAAACAAAUAAUUAGGGGUGAUAGGCUUUUCAAGUCUUGCGAUAACUUGAUGUUUAUUAAAAGUAUUUAGUACUAUAACAACUAAGAAGCGAUUAGGUUUUUUAGUAGUAUGAAGAAUUAUGGUUUUUAAAAUUAUGUUGUAAUUAUCAGAUUGUUUUAAAAUAUAACAUAAAUUUAUUUAAUUUAUAGUAAAUAAUAAACUAUUUAAUAAUAAUAAAAUAAUAGAUAAUGUUAUUAUAAGUAAUUAUUCAAGUGCUAAGGAUGAACUUGGCAAUAUUUUUCCAGACUGUUUAUCAAAAACAUAGCCAGUAGAAAUAGCUUAUUGGUAGUUUCUGCUCAAUGAAUUUUAAAUAGCCGCAGUACCCUGACUGUGCUAAGGUAGCAUAAUCAUUUGGCUCAUAAUUGGAGUCUAGUAUGAAAGAAAGAACGUGGGAGGAACUAUAUUUAUGGUAUAUAAUAAAAUUACUUAAUAAGUGAAAAUACUUAUAGAAAAAUAAUAGACGAGAAGACCCUAGAAAUUUUAAGAAAAUUUAGAGAAAAUGUUUUUGUUGGGGCAACAUUGUAACAGUUAACUUACAUACAAUCAAGCAAUUUUUUUGAAAGAAAAAAUUACUCUAGGGAUAACAGCGUAAUGUUAGAACGUUUGCGACCUCGAUGUUGGAUUAGGAAUUAAAAGCUAGA